UGCGCGACCCCGGCGCGCCCCCUCCCCCCGCUCGGGCCCGGGCGGAGAAGAGGGAAAAGCCGCCGAGGCCUGACAGGGCGCACCGCCGGGGCCGACUCGGGGCCUCCCGGGGCGCUGGACCAAUGCUGGGCGCUCGUUACGCGCAGAAGUCGGGGAAGAAGAGCAGGUCAGCGCGGGGCGCCUGAGGCGGGUCCCUGAGGAGAAGGGCUGUGAGUGUCGGAAACACCGAGACGCGAGAACGCGGAGGCCAAGCUUUUAGGGACACUGAACGUUCGGGACAGGAUAUAAUUAGAGCCGGCAGUUUUGAGGGACCAGUGAUGUGCUAAGCACUUACCUGAGCCAUGGCGACCCUGUGCAGCAGUGAUAGAUACUGCUGCGCCUUUCCAGGGAGGCCAGAUCACAAAGCCACCUGAAGUCCUAACCGAACUGGAGUCUGGAAGAGCAAAACAGUUGGCUGCCCAGCUUCCCAUGAAGGUAGAGGCAGCCUGUGACCCAGUUGUGGCCAAUGAGUUGUGAGUGGAAGUCAGCUGGGUGCUUUGGGGAAAUCUUUUGCUUUUCCUCAAAGAGGGACAUUUGCUGCCCAUAACAUCUUUUUGCUGCUCAUACCUGGAUGUCCUAUUUUUGGGGGGAACUGCCCCAGUCAUCUUACAACAGUGAAGAAAAGGCCAAAGAGCUAUCAAAGAUGUUAGUCCAUAGAAUCAUCAGCAGUAACUGCACACUCCACGUGUCUUUGUAAAUAAGGAACAUGAACUUUCUUUUCUUUUAUCAAGUUCUGUUGUUGGUAGUUGAAGGCAUCUCUAACUGAUAAAAUUUCUCCUGGGCUACAUUGAUUGAUUUCCAGGAUGGGUGUGUGACUCAAGUUAAAGCAAUUGAACCAAUGAGACUCAAUCUUAGAACUUCCACUGUUAGAAUGAGAAGUUCAUUUGAAAGUAAAGAUAUAUUAACCCAGAACUGGUGGAGCCAACUUGCCCCUACAUGGGGUCAGCCAGAGUGAGAAUGAAGCCAGUACAGAGGAAAUCAGAGCUGAGAUGUGGAGGGAGAGUGAGUUAGGAUGACAUGCUUUGAGGCCCUGAUGCUGAUCUGCCUGCAGUUAAGGUGCCUUUGGGCUUUUUGAGUACAUGGGUCAAUAAAUCUCUCUUUGGCUCAAGCUUAUCUGAGAGGUGUUUUCCGUCAUGUAUUGUAACUUGGCAACAUAUUACUCAUGCUAUUUCUAGUCUGUAUUUUCCGCUGCUUGCAUGUCCUCAAGUGGUAUUUAAGUACCUAAAAGCAGGACUUAAUAUUUAUCCAUUUUUAGUGAGUUACCUCCUCCUCCACCUUCUCUCUUGAGACUUUUGUGGGUCCAAUCCUCCCCACUCACCCCACCCACCCCUGCCAUCAGCAAGGACAGUCCUCUGCUCUGGGUAAGAAGAGAUGAAAGAUCCCACAC
Molecule: long non-coding RNA, 1426 nt
Organism: Canis lupus familiaris (dog)
Lineage: Eukaryota; Metazoa; Chordata; Mammalia; Carnivora; Canidae
Exons: 3
Source: RefSeq, a predicted model, not a curated record